This 814-nucleotide ribosomal RNA is filed under the name uncultured bacterium. RNAcentral describes it as "bacterial SSU rRNA". It matches the Rfam family "Bacterial small subunit ribosomal RNA", at positions 8 to 796 of the family's 1533-position model. The record is from RNAcentral.
AGAGUUUGAUCCUGGCUCAGAACGAACGCUGGCGGCGUGCCUAACACAUGCAAGUCGUACGAGAAAUCCUGAGCAAUCGGGAGAGUAAAGUGGCGCACGGGUGAGUAACGCGUGGGUAACCUAUCCUUGAAUCCGGGAUAACUCCGCGAAAGCGGGGCUAAUACCAGAUAAUAUUUCAAUUCCUUCGGAAGUUGGAAUCAAAGAUGGCCUCUGCAUGCAAGCUAUUGUUUAAGGAUGGGCCCGCGUACCAUUAGCUAGUUGGUAGGGUAAUAGCCUACCAAGGCAACGAUGGUUAGCUGGUCUGAGAGGAUGGUCAGCCACACUGGAACUGAGACACGGUCCAGACUCCUACGGGAGGCAGCAGUGGGGAAUCUUGCGCAAUGGGGGAAACCCUGACGCAGCAACGCCGCGUGGGUGAUGAAGGCCUUCGGGUCGUAAAGCCCUGUCAGGUGGGAAGAAACRUGUCGAUGUGAAUACCAUCGGCAUUUGACGGUACCACCGAAGGAAGCACCGGCUAACUCCGUGCCAGCAGCCGCGGUAAUACGGAGGGUGCAAGCGUUGUUCGGAAUUAUUGGGCGUAAAGCGCGUGUAGGCGGUCGGGUAAGUCAGAUGUGAAAGCCUUCCGCUCAACGGGAGAAGUGCAUUUGAAACUGCUCGGCUAGAGUACGGGAGAGGAGAGUGGAAUUCCCGGUGUAGAGGUGAAAUUCGUAGAUAUCGGGAGGAACACCAGUGGCGAAGGCGGCUCUCUGGUCCGAUACUGACGCUGAGACGCGAAAGCGUGGGGAGCAAACAGGAUUAGAUACCCUGGUAGUCC